Apus apus (common swift) is the source of this 3766-nucleotide RNA transcript. It is a transcript of the gene named ovochymase 1, with no coding region annotated. The record is from RefSeq and is a predicted model, not a curated record. Lineage: Eukaryota; Metazoa; Chordata; Aves; Apodiformes; Apodidae. The transcript is spliced from 8 exons.
GUGACUCUGGAAGCCUCCCUGCAUGUCUGAGGACUGGCAGCACCUGGACCCUGGCUAAUGUGGUGUCCUGAGGAGUUGGUUGUGCCAGAGGAUGGGAUACCCUUGAGAGAAGCACCAUGGCCCAGGACUCACCAGGCAUCUUCUGCUAGGUUGCUGUGUUUGUGGACUUCAUUGCUCAGCACAAGGCACCAGGUAACGACAGCUGAAUGGACAGUCUCUCCACUCAGUGCGAGAAGAGACCUUCCCGAUGGGAUCUAGCCUAAUGAACUGCAACAAUAUUUGCUUGAGUAAAUGUUUGGGCUGUGGGAGUGUUGCAAUGUUAGUGGAAGAGAGGAAGAUUGAUACUCCUAAUUACCCUGGAUUGUAUCCCAGGAACUCAAAGUGCCACUGGCUCACUGGGGCUCCAGCAGAGUAUGUCGUAAAGAGGAAGCAAGGAGAGAGAAGAUUCAGGAUUAACUACUGCACUGAUGUGACCUCUGAAGGAAGCCCCCUGUCCUGGUUUGAGCCAGGACAGAACCAAUUUUCCUUUAAUAAUUUUACUUUUCAGUUAAGUCUCUUCUAAGUAACUUACUGGCCCAGAGUUAAACCCUGACACCCCUUAGGUGAAGAAAUUAAAUCUUCCUCAGCUGAUCUUGUCUGAGGAGCUUUCCUCUAACAUAUAAGAGGAUUAUGCAGUGAGGCAGAUGCUUUCUGAUCUCAGGUCCCCUUUUGUGCACUUCUUGCAUGCAUGAAAAGUGAUGGGCAGGUGCUCCAUCAUUCUCCAUAAGUGUUGUAUGUUCUCUCUAUUCUGGUUGCAUGCACUUCUUUUUUGGAGUGAGGACACAGGGUAGAGGAUGGUAGAGAACCACUUUCAGUGCCUGAGUCUCACUUGCUCUCUGCAGUGCUUGCAUCCUUAGAAUUCAAGGUUUCACUGUUCUUGCUUCCCCAACACUAUUUCCAGACAGAGCAGACAAAUUUGGUUUCUCUUGUAUUUUUGGCCUUGCUGUAUCUACUGGGUGAGGUUAUCUAGGAAAACAAGAAACUUGCCCAUGAAAGUGUAGCUAGUUAUCUGGCUCUCUUGCAGAUGCCUGUGGCCUUCACCCAGUUACUCUCAAGAGGCUAUUCAAGUGUGUUAGUAGGGCUGAAGAGGCCUGUCUUCAAUGUUGGCCAUGGCAUAUCACCAUGAAGCUUCUUGAAGACUACCAGUGUGAUGGGGCUGUCAUCAGCCCUCCAUGGCUGUUGACAACUGCUCACUGUGUCCAGCUGCCAGUGUGUCCAGCCCAGGUCCCCAGGCCACCUCUGCUCCUCUCCCCAUGCUGUGCACUCCACCUGCUCCUCCAGGCUGGGGUGCAAACAGCUGGAGAGCUACAAAUUAUAUUCACAUCUUUAUGUCCUCUGCAAAACAUUUCUUCUGCACUUCCUCCAUCCUUACUGAUUUUAGAAACGGCAACAGUUUGGUCUUGCUUGUAGGAGAUCCAUUAAAGUUAAUUGGACUAUCUGAGCUGUAGCAAAACCAGAACUGAUGCAACAUAUGUGUUGUAAUGAGAAGCUCUUGCUCAGCAGUCCUGGGAAUAAGUGGCUAAUUAGAGAAGAGCCAGAAGGGAUGGAUGACUGCUGAAUAAGGAAGCUGUAUGGCUGGCUUUAAGUAGCCCCAAAAUGUUUGCUUUCAUUAUACAAUUCUAAUAAACCCUUGCACUGGACUGUGACAGUAGGAGACUGUGACAGAGACCUGAGAGAGUCAAGAGAACAGGUGAAAACCAAGCAAUACCAUAAAAAUGUUGACUUUGAUGAAUUUGACCCUCCAAUAUUUCUCAAAACAGAUCUAUAUGCACCGAUAAAACAGUGUUGACAGCAAGGCAAAGCGACUGGUAAGUGGCACAGAUUGAGGAAUGAGAAAAGAAAUCUAGUCACUCUGGCCUCAUUCAGCCAACUUGCAGUUUAUAGAAGUAUGUUUUAUAUCUAGUAGUUCUUAUUACUAGCAGUAAAAAAGUCUUUAACAGAGAUGACUGACUGUCCUCAGCAUCUUACUCUCUUGGUGAUGAGCAGUAUAUCUGUCUGCAAAAAAAAACUUGCUGAUUCUUUUUCUUCCUGAUGGGGAGGAGGAAGAAAAACAUUUGGAAAAGAAGCACAAGUGACUCACACUAGUCUUCUGCAAAACCUUAGUGGCUUGUGUUUUCACAACAAAGCAGUCAGCCUUCACUCUAGACUCUACAGAUCUAUGUAAUCCAUCCUAGCAAUCUUCUCAAAAGAUUCUUUUCAUGACUUAUUUUGAGCUUGGUCGUUGUGGGAUUUUUGCCUUCUUCCUUUACAAGCACUUUCUUUCAGAGAAGGUGAUUAGACAUUGGAAUGGACUGCCCAGAGAAGUAGUGGAGGCACCGUCCCUGGAUGUGUUCAAGGAAAGGCUGGAUGUGGCACUUAGUGCCAUGGUCUAGCCAGUGUGGUGGUGUUAGGUCAUAGGCUGGACUUGAUGAUCUUAAAGGUCUUUUCCAGCCUUGGUGGUUCUAUGAUUCUGUGAAGUAUGCUUUCUGGAUGCACUUAGAGGGCAACUUGUUCCUUCUCUGCCCUGAUUCCUCCAUCCUGGUCACAGCUGGGAGAGGUGAAGACCAUCCUGGUACAUCCCCAUUUUGACAUGCUGAGCUAGGACUCCAGCAUAGCCCCAGUGCAGCUAGACAUCUCUCUGGAAUACAACGCUGCUGUGAGGCCAGUGUGUGUGUGUCCACCAGCACAGAGACGCUGUCCUCCUCUUCCCUCUGCACUGUGUCUGGAUGGGAGAUCAUCGAAGAAGAUGGGAGCUGAGCUAGAUGAUUGCAGCAGACAAAAGCACCAGUACUUGAGAAUGGAAUCUGUGAGAGAAAUUACUACUUCAGUCACCCUGGAGGCAUCACAGCCAGGAUGCUUUGCACUGCCUUUUUUUCUGUGGGAGGCCAGGACUCUUGUCAGGACAAAAAUAUGGCAAUGCCCAAAAAAAUCUCAAGGAGAUGAGCUCAGAGUUGUCACAGUGCAGUUGUGUCAUCCUUACAGAUCAGGAAGGAAUGAUCCAGUCACCAGCACAAGACAUGCAAACUCUACCAGUGCUCAGACAGAACAGUUCAGGGAAAAAGUGCUUGUUCCUGAAUGUGAAGGAUGGCAACCCCAUGCUUGGGAAAGCUGUGCACAAACACUAUGGCUUUGGGGAUUCCUUUCAGAAGUGACCUGGCACUCCUGGAGCUGCAAAAACCCAGAGCCAGGGAGACACCAGGUGGACACUCAUCUGCAUGAUUGAUGGCAUGAUAAGCUGGUUGGUAUUGCAAGCUGUGGCUGGACAAGUAUCAUCCAGAGUCACCAACAGUUUACACCAGGGAGUCUGCCUACAGACACUGCAUUUCAUCAGUCACAAACCAAAACAUUUUAUUAAUGUGAACAGGAGGUUUUUCAGGUUUUUAAUGGCUUUUUCCUCCAUGAUGAUGUAUACUGGAUAAGUGUUCAUCAUUCCGGUCACCUUCCUGCAAACCCUUCCUCUUUGGAAGUUCUGACUCGAGCACUUGGUUUCAGAAAUCUCCUUUUUACUGCAGCAAAGCUUGUGGUGCUAUAGCACUGAUAUAAAUUCUGAUCCUGAGCUACAAUCCUUCAGUGUUUGGGUGUAUGUCUAGUGUCAAGACCUUCACAUAGCUGGUACUCAUCUGUCAAAAUAAAAUCGGUAUGCCCUGUUCAUCUCAGAUAACCUGAUUUACCAGAGUGAGGUAGCUGUUGCAGCAGCAUGGAUAGCUAAGAUGAACUGCAUCAACUGCAGUGUUAGUGUGCUGAAAAG